This 483-nucleotide ribosomal RNA is filed under the name uncultured bacterium. Its description in RNAcentral is "partial 16S ribosomal RNA". It matches the Rfam family "Bacterial small subunit ribosomal RNA", at positions 28 to 507 of the family's 1533-position model. The record is from RNAcentral.
GACGAACGCUGGCGGCGUGCUUAACACAUGCCAGUCGAACGCUGAAGCUCAGCUUUUGUUGGGUGGAUGAGUGGCGAACGGGUGAGUAACACGUGAGUAACCUGCCCCCUUCUUUGGGAUAACGCCCGGAAACGGGUGCUAAUACUGGAUAUUCACUGGUCUUCGCAUGGGGGUUGGUGGAAAGGGUUUUUCUGGUGGGGGAUGGGCUCGCGGCCUAUCAGCUUGUUGGUGGGGUGAUGGCCUACCAAGGCUUUGACGGGUAGCCGGCCUGAGAGGGUGACCGGUCACAUUGGGACUGAGAUACGGCCCAGACUCCUACGGGAGGCAGCAGUGGGGAAUAUUGCACAAUGGGCGCAAGCCUGGUGCAGCGACGCCGCGUGAGGGAUGGAGGCCUUCGGGUUGUGAACCUCUUUCGCUCAUGGUCAAGCCGCAACAAUGGUUGUGGUGAGGGUAGUGGGUAAAGAAGCGCCGGCUAACUACGUG